Molecule: ribosomal RNA, 543 nt
Filed under: Penicillium sp. 94-1F
Lineage: Eukaryota; Fungi; Ascomycota; Eurotiomycetes; Eurotiales; Aspergillaceae
Description: eukaryotic LSU rRNA
Rfam family: 5.8S ribosomal RNA (bases 179-332)
Source: RNAcentral
CAUUACUGAGUGAGGGCCCUCUGGGUCCAACCUCCCACCCGUGUUUAUUGUACCUUGUUGCUUCGGUGCGCCCGCCUCACGGCCGCCGGGGGGCUUCUGCCCCCGGGUCCGCGCGCACCGGAGACACCAUUGAACUCUGUCUGAAGAUUGCAGUCUGAGCAUAAACUAAAUAAGUUAAAACUUUCAACAACGGAUCUCUUGGUUCCGGCAUCGAUGAAGAACGCAGCGAAAUGCGAUAACUAAUGUGAAUUGCAGAAUUCAGUGAAUCAUCGAGUCUUUGAACGCACAUUGCGCCCCCUGGUAUUCCGGGGGGCAUGCCUGUCCGAGCGUCAUUGCUGCCCUCAAGCACGGCUUGUGUGUUGGGCUCCGUCCCCCCGGGGACGGGUCCGAAAGGCAGCGGCGGCACCGAGUCCGGUCCUCGAGCGUAUGGGGCUUUGUCACCCGCUCUGUAGGCCCGGCCGGCGCCAGCCGACAACCAAUCAUCCUUUUCAGGUUGACCUCGGAUCAGGUAGGGAUACCCGCUGAACUUAAGCAUAUCAAUAA